Long non-coding RNA from Oreochromis niloticus (Nile tilapia), 1207 nucleotides. RefSeq lists it as uncharacterized. The transcript has 2 exons. NCBI's taxonomy places the organism in Eukaryota, Metazoa, Chordata, Actinopteri, Cichliformes, Cichlidae. The record is from RefSeq and is a predicted model, not a curated record.
AGCUGUUGCUUUUACUUUGAAAUGGCAGUCACCUGGAAAUACAAACAGGAACUGUGCUACGUUUGCAUAUUCAGAACACCACUCCUGUGCUCGAAGUGAAAGUAAUCUGUUAUUUUGGACUAUUUAAAAAAAACCUUCUAGUUCGGCUCGUGGAUCAGAAAAGCAGUUGAAGAGUCUAAGCUUUCUGUUGUCGUACUCUGCUGUGUUUUCACGUUCUGUUAAGACUCAGUGAGCCGUUCACUUGGCAGGACAUGGCGGUGGAGAGUGCACUAGACCAGCAGAAACCCACAGGGUCACCUGAGGACUGGGUGGAGUGGUUCCUUCAUCGUAUGCAUCAGGAGCCGUGGGCACUAGGUGGUAUUGCCGUCAUUGGAGUGUUUGUCCUGGUAAUUCUCUCUCUGGUCAUCUUUGCUCUACUGUACGGAUGCUGCCGCAGCUCAGGAGACAAGAACACGAAGAGAAGGCAGAAGAAUUCAAAGGACAGAGUCAUUUAAGUGUAUUCAGAUAAAAGAGAAAAUGUACACUUUUCCACUUUUGAAUUUCUUUGCUACAUAGUAUGGGACUCUUUUUUUAAGGCUUCUUCAACAAAAAUUUGAAUGAAAUUAAAAUGCCCAUAUAUUUUUUCAGUAUCCGCAAAAAUGGCCGGACCACAUCACAGACGGCAAACCAUUGUUCCACUUUGUAACACGUCAUUGCCAAGCAGCUGAUUGUAAGAAUUGUAAAAUGGUGAAUGGACUGGAUUUUCUACUCUGAGCACUCAAACUACUUUUCACUACAAGAAGAAAAUAUUUCAAUAUUGCAGCUGUAUGAAAAAUAGCAUGAACUGACACUAAAAUCAUAACCCUAUUACACUAAUAACUAUUAAACCUUUUCUUCUAAUUUAUUCCAAUUCCAAUUUAUUGUGAUUUGAAAUUAUGCAUAACCAUUCUAUCAGUCUACACAAAUGUUUGUGUAAAUUCAUAUGUUUAUCUAGUGAUUUUUUUUUACGCUCACACAUAGUAAAAAGUGACUGUUUCAAUGUGAUUUCAGUGUGAUUAAAUAUGCAACCAGGCUGGGGGAUUAUGAUAAUAAGACACACAUGAAUUCAAUCUAGGUAUUAAGGAAGGAAGGAAGGUAAAAGAACAAUGGAGGGAAGUAAAAACACAGCCCUGUGAGAAACUAACCUUCAAAAUAAAAUGCAAAGGGAACUUAAAGAGACCCCCAAAAA